This 497-nucleotide ribosomal RNA is filed under the name uncultured bacterium. Its description in RNAcentral is "partial 16S ribosomal RNA". It matches the Rfam family "Bacterial small subunit ribosomal RNA", at positions 28 to 507 of the family's 1533-position model. The record is from RNAcentral.
GAUGAACGCUGGCGGCGUGCCUAAUACAUGCAAGUCGAGCGAACGGACGAGAAGCUUGCUUCUCUGAUGUUAGCGGCGGACGGGUGAGUAACACGUGGAUAACCUACCUAUAAGACUGGGAUAACUUCGGGAAACCGGAGCUAAUACCGGAUGAUAUUUUGAACCGCAUGGUUCAAAAGUGAAAGACGGUCUUGCUGUCACUUAUAGAUGGAUCCGCGCUGCAUUAGCUAGUUGGUAAGGUAAUGGCUUACCAAGGCAACGAUGCAUAGCCGACCUGAGAGGGUGAUCGGCCACACUGGAACUGAGACACGGUCCAGACUCCUACGGGAGGCAGCAGUAGGGAAUCUUCCGCAAUGGGCGAAAGCUUGACGGAGCAACGCCGCGUGAGUGAUGAAGGUCUUCGGAUCGUAAAACUCUGUUAUUAGGGAAGAACAUAUGUGUAAGUAACUGUGCACAUCUUGACGGUACCUAAUCAGAAAGCCACGGCUAACUACGUG